CCUACGGGGUGCAGCAGUGAGGAAUAUUGGUCAAUGGACGCAAGUCUGAACCAGCCAAGCCGCGUGCAGGAAGACGGCUCUAUGAGUUGUAAACUUCUUUUGUACGAGGGUAAACGCAGGUACGCGUAUCUGUCUGAAAGUAUCGUACGAAUAAGCAUCGGCUAACUCCGUGCCAGCAGCCGCGGUAAUACGGAGGAUUCAAGCGUUAUCCGGAGUUAUUGGGUUUAAAGGGUGCGUAGGCGGUCGGAUAAGUCAGAGGUGAAAUCCCGGGGCUCAACCUCGGACGUGCCGCUGAUACUGUGAGGCGAGAGAGUAGUGGAGGUAGGCGGAAUGUGUGGUGUAGCGGUGAAAUGCUUAGAGAUCACACAGAACACCGAUUGCGAAGGCAGCAUACCAAGCUAAUUCUGACGUUGAGGCACGAAAGCGUGGGGAGCAAACAGGAUUAGAUACCCGGGUAGUC
This 460-nucleotide ribosomal RNA is filed under the name uncultured bacterium. Its description in RNAcentral is "partial 16S ribosomal RNA". It matches the Rfam family "Bacterial small subunit ribosomal RNA", at positions 338 to 795 of the family's 1533-position model. The record is from RNAcentral.